This 496-nucleotide ribosomal RNA is filed under the name uncultured bacterium. RNAcentral's name for it is "partial 16S ribosomal RNA". It matches the Rfam family "Bacterial small subunit ribosomal RNA", at positions 29 to 507 of the family's 1533-position model. The record is from RNAcentral.
AUGAACGCUGGCGGCGUGCCUAAUACAUGCAAGUCGAGCGAACAGACGAGGAGCUUGCUCCUCUGACGUUAGCGGCGGACGGGUGAGUAACACGUGGAUAACCUACCUAUAAGACUGGGAUAACUUCGGGAAACCGGAGCUAAUACCGGAUAACAUGUUGAACCGCAUGGUUUAACAGUGAAAGACGGUCUUGCUGUCACUUAUAGAUGGAUCCGCGCCGCAUUAGCUAGUUGGUAAGGUAACGGCUUACCAAGGCAACGAUGCGUAGCCGACCUGAGAGGGUGAUCGGCCACACUGGAACUGAGACACGGUCCAGACUCCUACGGGAGGCAGCAGUAGGGAAUCUUCCGCAACGGGCGAAAGCCUGACGGAGCAACGCCGCGUGAGUGAAGAAGGUCUUCGGAUCGUAAAACUCUGUUAUUAGGGAAGAACAAAUGUGUAAGUAACUAUGCACGUCUUGACGGUACCUAAUCAGAAAGCCACGGCUAACUACGUG